UAUAUAUAUAUAUAUAUAUAUAUGUAUAUAUAUAUAUAUAUGUGUAUAUAUAUAUAUAUAUAUAUAUAUAUAUAUAUAUAUAUUGGAUACAACUAGAAUCCACCUUGCGGGCUACUCAAUUACCAACACACACACCACCCAGUUGACAAAUCCUUUACCAUCCCCAAAUUGGCUCAUACUACAUACAUAUAAAUGUGUAUAUAUAUAUAUCUUGAAAUAAAUAUUUCUGAGUUCUGUAUCAAUCUGUGUUGAGUUUAUUUAUUUAUUUUUAUUUUUCUUAGGAAGAUGACCGAGCCUUUAAUGUCCUUUGUAAUAUAUGUGCGUAUAAACCAAGAACAAUUUAUUUAUAUCGGUAUUAUAUAAACUGCUUACUAAUGACUAUUAAUUUUGGGAGAAGGCUUUAUAAAGCAUGGACUGACUAUUUAUUAAUGCUUAGCUAAUGAGUGCAGUUAUUAUAAAGUGUUACCAAUGCAUUUACUAAUGUUAACAAAUGAGAUAUUAUUUUACAGUUUUACCAAAUCCAAAAAGUGUUUUGUAAUGAUUUUAUUGACCUAUAAAUUCUGCUUGCAUUACAGGUUUGUCUUCAUGAGAUUAUGUAAAUUCAGACAAAUGACAUGUCACAGGAUGCCAUAGGCAAAUAAAGAGAUGUUUGAGUUUCACUCUCUCUCUCUCUCUCUCUCUCUCUCUCUCUCUCUCUCUCUCUGACACUCAGCGCCCCACCACAGACACACACACACUAAGCACACACACUUAACACAUGACUCACAGUGGUAGAGUGAUCAUUAAAUGUCUGAUUGUUUUUUAAUUUUCUGUUAUCCAUAGAGUGUUGUAUGGUCAUGAAAGUAUGCAUAUUUCCUCAGAAUGACUUGUCUUCUCUAUAAUAAAACAGCAUCUAUACAGAUGUAACUAUAUUAACAUUAACUGUACACUUGAUAAAAAAAGAAAAAUAAACAUAUUACAUUUCAUAUAAAAAAAUCCAAGUGUAUAGUUGUAGAGUUUAAUAUUAUUACAUCUUUAAAUAUUUAUUUUUGUUGUGAUUGUUUAUUUAUUUUUUUAAUUUUUGUAUUAUUAUUUUGUUAGUUUUGUUAGGAAGAGGACUGAGCCUUUAAUGUCCUUUGUAAUAGACGUGCUUAUAAAUCAAGCGCUAGGCUUUUAUAGCUAUAUUUAUAAACUGCUUACUAAGGAUUAUUAAUGUUGGGAUAAAGGUUCAUAAAGGAUGUACUGACUAUUUUUUAAUGCUUACUUAAUGAUUCAUAGAGUGCAGUUAUUAUAAUGUGUUAACAAUGUAUUUAGUAAUGUUUACAAAUUAAACAUUAUUUUAAUGUGUUUCUAAAACCUUUAAUGAUUUAGAACCAUUUAAAAAAAUUAUUGCUCUAUAAGCAUUUGUGAAAUAUUUUUGUUUGCAUUACAGCUUAGUGUUUGUCUGUGAGCUCAAUUGUUUUACUGCAUCCUUGAGAUCCGUGUAAAUUCAGAUAAAUGCAUGUCACUGGAUGUCAUAGGUCAGUAUGAAAUAGAGAAUAAAAGUAUUAUUUGCAGCAAAAAUAUUGUAAUAAAUAAAUGUAGGUGUAUAUUUAAUUUGAUAUGUAUAUGCUAAAAUUAACAUAUUAAAUAACUAAGUUAAAGCUUUUAAAUAACUUAGCAUUUUAAAUGGUUUAACUGAUGUAUAAGCAGUGAAAUAAAUAUUGCAGUUAUAAAUUAAUAGAUUAUCAAGAGUGAAAAACUGAUAUUUUUUCUCCUUUCUCAUACACACGCAAAUACAUAUACACACACACAAUAUAGAAAAGGUUUUAACAUAUUACAUAAAGGUUGUAGUUGCUAACAUUAGUUAACAUUAUCAGUAUAGCUGUAUGAUUCUUAAUAUUUUGGUUGUAUAGAUUUUUUUAUAACAAUAUUUUAAAAUGGAUACUUGAACUACAUUAGUUAAUGUAACAAACUGUCAUGUAUAUUUGUAAUUACUAACAAUAAUAAAUAUUGAAAAAAAAAAUAAAAAGAAAUAAAGAAAUGUUCAUUCUUAGGUAAAGUUAGGUGAUGCAUUAAUUAAUUAUUCUAAAAGAAUGGAAACCUUAUUGUAAGUGUUGGUUAAAUUGAAAUGAUCUUAAUUUUCUUGAUGCAUUUGUGAAAUAAUUUAAUAAUAUUGUAGUAAUAGUAAAGUGUAUUAUAAUUUAUUUUAGGUACUAGUUUUUUAUUAUAAAAAUAUUUAUGAGUCUUUGAUUUGUCUAGUGUCCAGUUUUGGUAUUUUAACUUAAAAUGUUAGCUAAAGAGUUUAUGGCAUUUACUUUUCUGUUAGCCUUUAUAAUCUAAUAAAAUUAUGCGACUAAGUAUGUUUAUGUAGAAUAAUUUGGUAUUUAUUAAAAGGUUUGUUAAACAUUAAGCUUUAAACAUAAGAUAAUUAUUGUGUCGUCUUUUUUCUUAUUUUAAUUAAUAGUGAUGUUAACAUCAGUGAAAAUACCUAUAAUGCUUUGGCAAUUAAAAUUUUUCAAUGUUUUCAAUGUUUUAGCAUGAAAUAUUUUUAUUAAUAAGAGAUUAAGUAAUAUACUUGUGUUGUGGGAGUGUAGUGUGCAAUAUUUUUGUAUUUUAAUGAAAACUGUAAGUCUGAGAAAAAACUAUAAAUUAUAAAGGUGGAAUAGGCAAAUAGUAUGUUAAAUUGUAUGUAAAAAAGUGUAAUUAAAAAGAAAAGAAAAAAGAAAAGAAAAUAAUGUGGUUUAAGAGUAAAUGGAAAUAUAACAAUUUGUAGUUUUAAAAGUAAAAAACAGUGCAGCAUAAAAAGUGUGGUCACAAUAUAAUGAAUGUUAAGCAUUCUGUAGAUCUUUCUGUAGAUGGUUUUGGAGAAGACUUUGUUGCAGCUUGUAUUUCUGAAAAAAGGAAAAGAGGAAGUUAUAAGUAUUUGAUUGAAGAGAUUUGCUGUAGUAAAGGAUAUGUGUAACGAAUUACAGUAUAUUGGAGUGGGAGUGUUUAUUACCUUGAUAGUUGUUAUUCUCAGGUAAGUGUUCAGGUAAUGUUGAAGGGACAUGCUCCGUCUGUGAGGACAUGUCACAUUGUUCUGUAAAAGGAAACAUGUAGGUUUAAUUGCCAUUGUAAAGAACAAAUGUACAGAAAAGGUAAGAUGUAUGAGUACAAAUUAGGAAGUGAGAAAUAAUUACCAUCUUUGAAAAAGUAUUGGGUAGCAGUGUUGAUUUCUGCAGAAGUUAGAGCUUCUGAGAGUUUUUUUUUUCAUGUCUUGUAGUUCUGAACGAAGUGUAGUGACACAUUGCUGGAGAGCCUUGUUUUGGUUGUCACAGUGUGACAUGAUUUUCAUGAUAUUAGUGCCUAGAUUACAAAGUUGUGGUGUUUCGAUGGGGUUGACAGAUGGAUCUUGGCAUUUGUACUAUAGAAAUGGCAAAUAAAAACUUUGUUAAAAUAGUAUGGAUGGUAAUGGUGGAAUUUGUAUGUAGGCUAUGUAGUAGGCUAAUAUUAGUUAAAUAAACAAAGGUAAUAAAGAAUAUGGCUUACAGCAAUGAGUUGGAGGCGGUCAUGAAUUGAUUCAGUCUCAGGGUGGUGUAUUUUGGGGAAUUUUGAUGGUGAGGUGUAGGAAGCCAUAAUCUGGAAGAAAGUAUGUCAUGAAUAAUAAACAAGCAAUAGACAGUAGAUAUGGUAAUAUGUGUGGGACGGUAUAGGUACACUCCAAAAAAUGCUGGAUUGUUUUAAUGAAAUUUUGGGUUAUAUGGACUAACUCAGCUGUUAGAGUUAAUUAA
Cyprinus carpio carpio is the source of this 3731-nucleotide long non-coding RNA. Lineage: Eukaryota; Metazoa; Chordata; Actinopteri; Cypriniformes; Cyprinidae. The record is from Ensembl.